RNAcentral lists this transfer RNA (63 nucleotides) under Lachesilla punctata. RNAcentral describes it as "tRNA-Gly". Lineage: Eukaryota; Metazoa; Arthropoda; Insecta; Psocodea; Lachesillidae. The record is from RNAcentral.
AUUUAUUUAAUAUAAUUUAGUAUACCUGGCUUCCAACCAGGAAGUCUAUUUCUAGAAUAAAUA